GGUUAUUAGAGAGAAUUAAUAAUCUCACCUGCCCUAUGCUUAAGUAAAUGGCUGCAGUAUAUUGACUGUACUAAGGUAGCAUAAUCAAUAGUUUUUUAAUUGAAGACUGGUAUGAAAGGUUGAUACCGUGGGGAAAGUUUUAUUGAUUGAAUUUGAAUUUAAAUUAGAAGUAAAAAUGCUUCUAUUAACCCUUGGGACGAGAAGACCCUAGAAGCUUUGAUGUAUAUACAUUUUAGUUGGGGUGAUUAACGAAGAAAAGGAUCUUUGUUUUUAAAAUCUUAUGAUUAUUAUAAGUUACUCUAGGGAUAACAGCGUAAUUUAGUUUAAAAGUUCUUAUUUAAAAUUAGGUUUGCGACCUCGAUGUUGAAUUAAAUGUAAGUGGGGUGAAGAAGCUUCAUGUUUAAAGUCUGUUCGACUUUUAAAUUUUUACA
RNAcentral lists this ribosomal RNA (431 nucleotides) under Palaeoncopus sp. PS-2009. Its description in RNAcentral is "partial 16S ribosomal RNA". It matches the Rfam family "Bacterial large subunit ribosomal RNA", at positions 1886 to 2600 of the family's 2925-position model. The record is from RNAcentral. Lineage: Eukaryota; Metazoa; Arthropoda; Arachnida; Opiliones; Sandokanidae.